This 800-nucleotide ribosomal RNA is filed under the name uncultured Bacillota bacterium. RNAcentral describes it as "bacterial SSU rRNA". It matches the Rfam family "Bacterial small subunit ribosomal RNA", at positions 71 to 902 of the family's 1533-position model. The record is from RNAcentral. Lineage: Bacteria; Bacillati; Bacillota.
AAAGUGGAGCAAUCCAUGAGUAAAGUGGCGACCGGGUGAGUAACACGUGACUAACCUACCUCCGAGUGGGGAAUAACUCCGGGAAACCGGGGCUAAUACCGCAUAACAUCGCAAGAUCAAAGCAGCAAUGCGCUUGGAGAGGGGGUCGCGGCUGAUUAGCUAGUUGGCGGGGUAACGGCCCACCAAGGCGAAGAUCGGUAUCCGGCCUGAGAGGGCGCACGGACACACUGGAACUGAAACACGGUCCAGACUCCUACGGGAGGCAGCAGUGGGGAAUUUUGCGCAAUGGGGGAAACCCUGACGCAGCAACGCCGCGUGGAGGAUGAAGCCCCUUGGGGCGUAAACUCCUUUCGACCAAGACGAUAAUGACGGUACUGGUGGAAGAAGCACCGGCUAACUCUGUGCCAGCAGCCGCGGUAAUACAGAGGGUGCGAGCGUUGUUCGGAAUUAUUGGGCGUAAAGGGCGCGUAGGCGGUGCCACAAGUCACUUGUGAAAUCCCCGGGCUUAACUCGGGGCCUGCAGGCGAAACUGUGGUGCUGGAGUAUGGGAGAGGUGCGUGGAAUUCCCGGUGUAGCGGUGAAAUGCGUAGAUAUCGGGAGGAACACCUGUGGCGAAAGCGGCGCACUGGACCAUAACUGACGCUGAGGCGCGAAAGCUAGGGGAGCAAACAGGAUUAGAUACCCUGGUAGUCCUAGCCCUAAACGAUGAUUGCUUGGUGUAGCAGGUACCCAAUCCUGCUGUGCCGCAGCUAACGCGAUAAGCAAUCCGCCUGGGGAGUACGGUCGCAAGGCUGAAACUC